Molecule: long non-coding RNA, 1329 nt
Filed under: Homo sapiens (human)
Lineage: Eukaryota; Metazoa; Chordata; Mammalia; Primates; Hominidae
Description: HSALNT0325323
Source: RNAcentral
UUUUAGUUGGGAAUAGCUGUUGAAUGAUCAUAUGUCUGUGGAAGAAAAGAAUAAAUGGACUCUGGAGACAGAAAUGUUCAAUGCACAGUGCCAUAUGCCUGCAGUCAUUUACAAAUGCACCUAUUCUCACACUUGGCUGCAUGUUGAAAUCACCUGAGGGAGUUUCAGAACAACACUGAUACCUGGAUCCUAUCCCUAGAGACCAUGAUUUAAUUGAUAUGGGGUACAUCACAAGCAUUGGAGGUUUUCAAAGCUCUUGGGUAUUCUAAUAUGGCAGAGAGUUGGUGAACUGCUGAUUUAGGCCAUCCAAACAUCACUGGCAUACAUUUGAUGCAGGUUUCACUGAUUCUAGUCACAAGUAGCUUCUGCUGCUUUAACUCUAGAGACACUACAGUUCCUCUUGCAUUCUCCCACUUUGGUUCAAUAGGAAAAUCUCUGCCGCUUAGUGAUUUUCCAAGAAACAUGAGCUUCUGCCUUUCAAUGAGGAAGAUACUCAGAAGUCAUGUUCGAGCACUCCGGAAAAUGUCCUUGGAGUUUCAACAUUUCUUUGGUCUUCCACAUUUCAUUUUGUCCUGAUUAAAGAGGAAGCCAGUUGCUGUUUGUGUGGCCAUGUGAGCAGGCAGGGAGAUGGUGGCUGCCUAGAAGCCAAGAGAAGUGGCCUCAAGAUGAAAUCUACCUUGCUGGUACUUUGAUCUUGGACUUGCAGCCUCCAGAACUGUGAGGCUUGUCCAUUUUAAUGAGAAGCUUAUGUGGCAUGGAACUGAGUUCACCCCCAACCAGCAGCUGGUGAGGAAUGGAGCUCUUCGUUCAAUGACUCAUAAUGAGCUUUGAGACAACCAAAGCCCCCUAGCUAACCUGUGCCUGGAUUCCUGGCCCACAAAGACAGUGAGAGAGGGACCCAACUCAGCCCAUGAAGCCACUGAAAUACAGGAAAGAGCAUCUUCAUUGAAGCCACUGGAGCAUGGGAAAGAGCACCACCAGCUCCCUGCUCGCUAGCUGUGAACCUCAGGAUGGAAUAGAAGAUGGAUAAAAAGCUUCUACUGCAGCCUGGGCCCAGUUCACUUUCUCUCUUGGCUCCAAUCCUGGUGGACACAGUAGGGGCUCCUCAAAAGCUCCACCCAUCACCUCCUUGAAUCACUGCAUCAUCUACUUCACACUGGGGCACAGACAAUUGGAUGGCUUCUUUGAUCUCUGUCUAGCACUUGAUCGUUAUCAUAUAAAAGUCCCCCUACCCUUGCAUUCUCUUGGUGAAACUCCAGAACAUCUUCUGGCUUGGAGCUACCUGAUUCAUAAAUUGCUGUUUGCUCAAAGAAACUCUUGAAAAUUUUA